RNAcentral lists this ribosomal RNA (386 nucleotides) under uncultured prokaryote. RNAcentral describes it as "bacterial SSU rRNA". It matches the Rfam family "Archaeal small subunit ribosomal RNA", at positions 339 to 725 of the family's 1478-position model. The record is from RNAcentral.
GCGCGAAAACUUUACAAUGCCGGCAACGGCGAUAAGGGGACCUCGAGUGCCAGGUUACAAAUCUGGCUGUCGAGAUGCCUAAAAAGCAUUUCAUAGCAAGGGCCGGGCAAGACCGGUGCCAGCCGCCGCGGUAACACCGGCGGCUCGAGUGGUAACCGUUAUUAUUGGGUCUAAAGGGUCUGUAGCCGGCCGGAUAAGUCUCUUGGGAAAUCUGGCAGCUUAACUGUCAGGCUUUCAGGAGAUACUGUUCGGCUCGAGGCCGGGAGAGGUGAGAGGUACUUCAGGGGUAGGGGUGAAAUCUUGUAAUCCUUGAAGGACCACCAGUGGCGAAGGCGUCUCACCAGAACGGACCUGACGGCAAGGGACGAAAGCUAGGGGCACGAACC